CAGUCGCCGCGGUAAAACGAAGGGGGCUAGCGUUGCUCGGAAUGACUGGGCGUAAAGGGCGCGUAGGCGGCGAUUAAAGUCAGGCGUGAAAUUCCUGGGCUCAACCUGGGGGCUGCGUUUGAUACUUGAUUGCUAGAGUGGGGAAGAGGGUCGUGGAAUUCCCAGUGUAGAGGUGAAAUUCGUAGAUAUUGGGAAGAACACCGGUGGCGAAGGCGGCGACCUGGUCCUUGACUGACGCUGAGGCGCGAAAGCGUGGGGAGCAAACAGGAUUAGAUACCCGGGUAGUCCCUGUCUCUUAUAC
This 301-nucleotide ribosomal RNA is filed under the name uncultured bacterium. RNAcentral describes it as "partial 16S ribosomal RNA". It matches the Rfam family "Bacterial small subunit ribosomal RNA", at positions 509 to 807 of the family's 1533-position model. The record is from RNAcentral.